UGCUUAUUUGAAAUAAUUAGGAAAAAAAAUCCACAUAAAGUUCUCUGAAUGCACACCUCACCUAGCAGAGAUUCACAAAUGAAAUAGAAUUUCUUCCCUUGCAAAGAACCAUCCAGAAGGAUGCUUUACAUCCAGAUAUUUCUCAAAGACUAGUCUUAGCAAAUCUUUUGUGGUUGCCAAAUGUAUUAAUUUCAGCUGUUCAACAAUAUAGAAGAAUUAUGUCAGAAGUCAUUCAUUGCAUCUUCUUAGAUUAAUACACUUUUCACAUUCCUGCUGUUAUCUCCAGUCACAAGGUCUUUCUGUGAUAUUUCAUUCUGUGCAGCAGAAAAGAGUAACCAUUGUUAUUCUGCAAAUACUUAAGUUUCCUCUGGUUUUGUUUUUUUUUCCUCUUCUUAAUAGGGAUCUUCUUACUCAGGAAGCAGCCAGUAUGGUGGGCAGGGCUCAUCAUAUUCUGGAGGCCGACAACAUGGUAAACCAGGAUCCUCAGGAAGCACUUAUUCUGGAAAGCAGCAACCACCUUCUUCAGGGGGUAGUCAAGUGAGCUCUGCUGGGAAACACUCCAGUCCCCAACUCCUGCUGUUGUUUAGCAUUUUGAGUGCCUUCGUACUCUCUGCUGUUACAUCAAAAUGGUCUAUGUGAACAUCAGAAGAUGUGCUCGGCAUCCUAGACGUGGAUUAUACGCAGUAAUAUUAGAUUAAUUAAUAUCAGGAAGAAAAAAAAACAACACCACCAUAAAACUGUCAGAUGUUACUUGGGCUAUCAUGUUCCAUGUCUGGUUACUAUGUCAUGUCUUUCAUUAGUUUCUUUGGGUUUAGUCAUUAGUAGAUAUCAUUACUUUUGUCAGUGUUCUAGGCACCAUUUUAAGAGAGUGUAUUGUACCCUAGCUUUAUGAUUUCAUUAAAUUAUUUUUAUGUCCAGUGGAAAACAUGAUGAACACCUGAAAACUGAUUGGUGUGAGAAACAAAUGCUUAUAAAAUACCUGGUUAGUAACCAACGCAGAAUGUCAGACAAAUGGUUUUAUUUGCAAAACUUUAUUUGAGCACUGUCACUGCCCCUCACUGCAUACAAUAAAGAUGACCUCUAACUUCUUGUGAGCGAUCCU
This 1102-nucleotide long non-coding RNA is filed under the name Phasianus colchicus (ring-necked pheasant). RNAcentral describes it as "lncRNA (ENSPCLG00000022341.1)". Lineage: Eukaryota; Metazoa; Chordata; Aves; Galliformes; Phasianidae. The record is from RNAcentral.